This 281-nucleotide small nuclear RNA is filed under the name Jaculus jaculus (lesser Egyptian jerboa). Its description in RNAcentral is "7SK RNA (ENSJJAG00000008363.1)". It matches the Rfam family "7SK RNA". Rfam says of the family: 7SK was discovered as an abundant small nuclear RNA in the mid-70s but a possible function has only recently been suggested. Two independent studies have found that 7SK RNA binds the CDK9/cyclin T complex (known as elongation factor P-TEFb). Lineage: Eukaryota; Metazoa; Chordata; Mammalia; Rodentia; Dipodidae. The record is from Rfam by way of RNAcentral.
GGAUGUGAGAGUGAUCUGGUUGUGAUUUCUGUCACUCCAUUGUUCACUAGUGUUGCCUCUGCAAAUCUGUCUGGUUAUAAAGGUGUCCCCUUCCUCCCUUGCUGUUCCAUGUUCCCAAAGCCAUGCAGUGUGUUGAAUAGGAGGACCUGCCUCCCACCCUAGAGGAUGACUCUCUUCAGUCUGUAGAGCAGUAGUAGCUGCAGGGCGUGGUGGCACACACCUUUGAUCCCGGCACUCAGGACACAGAGGUAGGAGGAUUGCUGUGAGUUUAAGGCCAGCCU